This 196-nucleotide unclassified non-coding RNA is filed under the name soil metagenome. RNAcentral describes it as "partial contains 5.8S ribosomal RNA, internal transcribed spacer 2, and large subunit ribosomal RNA". The record is from RNAcentral.
AACUGAUACUACCUGCGGGAACCUGCGGAGGGAUCAUUCACAAUAAGUGUUUUAUGGCACUUUAAUUCCAUAUCCACCUUGUGUGCAACGUAGUUCGUUUUUCGAACAAAACAUCAACAUUUUAAUUAUCAACAGAUCGUCUGAAGUAUUAUAUGAAUAAAUCAAUUCAAAAUACAACUUUCAACAAUGGAUCUCU